AAAAAAGAAUCUUUGACUUUCGAGUCGAGGGAAAUGGGUAUUCCGCAUUUUUAGCGGUAGCCUGAAAUGUAUGGUUGGUCUCAUCUAGUCGAGAUGCGUAAUAAUAAUUAUUUCGUAAAAUCUUUGAUGUGACGAGCUACCAAGUCUUGACGUGUACGCUUUAUUGUUGUAUGCGAUCAAUACAAAUAUUUUUG
This 194-nucleotide unclassified non-coding RNA is filed under the name uncultured Archaeospora. Its description in RNAcentral is "partial internal transcribed spacer 2". Lineage: Eukaryota; Fungi; Glomeromycota; Glomeromycetes; Archaeosporales; Archaeosporaceae. The record is from RNAcentral.